CUCUCUCCGCCCACCUCCUCAGGUUUUAAUAACCUCUCGUUCCACCCGAAAGGAGAAGGUCUCCGUGGGCAACGAAAGACAGCCUCCCCAAAAACCCUGCCAGUGAUCAAUGGAGACGAAAAUUCACUGACGCCGCUCAUACAAAUAAGGACAAGCAAAGGCGACCUGCCUUUCUCGCAGCUCCAUCUCUGCCCGCGAUGGGAGCCGAUAGCGGAGUGAGAAGUGUGAGCGCGUGCCCUGCGCGUGUGUGAUCGCAGCUAAACGGGGGGAGAUGGAUGACGGUAAUUUAGGGCCAAGACAUCAAUCUCUCAAGAGGGAAUAGAUUUCUGUAGGACACCUGGAGCCAUUCGCCCUCCUGAGAUGACCUAUCCACUUUGCGGUGACGCCACUUAUUUCCAAACCAUCCACAACACCAGCGCCCUGCUCCGGUGAACAGUGAAUUUGUAUCCCCCUCAGACGUCCUACCGGAGAAGGAAAGACAACCUUGGCUGAAGACUCUGUGUAAGCACUUCAUUAGCUCCUCGGCUCCCAACAUCCACAUCGUAAUCUGAGUGACGGCCAGUGUGAGAAGAACCCAGCAAAAUACCCCAAACCGACUGAUGACACUCCAGCAGGAAACGUGCUAGCAGUGAAGGCAGGAAACGCCAGUCCCUUAAUUGAGAGGACUAAUUAAGAGGACAUUAUUUAAUUGUCCUCCUAAGCUAUCGCCUCUUUAACUUGGUUGUGAGAAGCCAGCGCUGUGCUAUGAUGGAAUUUAAUUUCACAAUAGAGGGUUGUUCUGGUACUUAGCUGCCACUUGCGACGUAGCAGUUGAGGUUAAAUAGAGCGCAUGUCGCUGAAAUUGAUUGCGUUGUGCAAACAGCUAUUGACAAAGGUCACACUUAAUGUUGGGGCGAUGCAUCAUCUCAAAGCACGUUUUAUGUUAAUUACAUUUUGCCAGGUGACCUCCGCUCGUCAUUGCUAAAUUAACCGGUUUGUGUUUUGAGAAAGUUAAAUUACAAUUUGAAUGUGUUUGUGUGUGUGUGUGUGUGUGUGUGUGUGUGUGUGUGUGUGUAAGGUAACGGGAAGGACCCAAAUGCAGAUUUUUAUUUGCAGAUUAGUAUGUGAUCUCUGGGUCACUUUGUAUAAGAAGAACCCCUUUGAUUUAUUGAAACAACCUACCCAAAGGCCUGACAAGUCAAUGUAGCAUCACGUCUUUGACAAACUGACAAAGAACAAGGGGACGUUCACCUGUACGAAUACAACUGGGCUGAGUAAUUACAAACGGGAAGCAGGUGGGAAGGGAAGGAACCUCCAGGGCUGGUGAAGGAAAGUGAGCACAGGUGAAGAGGUUCGUGGAGAAGGUCACGUGACUGGGAAUGUUUUUUGUUUUUUUUCUCAGACCAGGGGGGGUUUGAGUGACAAGCGGAAAAGUCAAAAGCCAUAUGGUAGCUGGAAAAUUGCCCACAAACCACUUUGAAGGAAUGUGAACGAAGGCAGGACCACAGAGGCAUAUUUUAAAACUCAUAGUAUUUGCAAAAUUAUUUAUAUAUCAUGGGAUUUACUAACAAUGGAUAAACUCAACUCAUUGUGAUAAGCUGUGCUGUAUUUAGGAAGGACUGUGUUGAAUUGUAAUGCCCCACUCUUUAUUUAUGCAAAUCUUAUUUGGAUCUUCGAUUUAAAAGUCCACCGAACGUGUGACCUUGUCUCAGUUACAGUUCAGCUAGACAGAAGUAAGGAUACUGUUGAUUCUUUAGAGAUACAGCAUGAAGGCAAAGAAAUAAUAACGGCACCAAUCAGUAAAAAUGAAUAGUAAAAAGAUAAAGUGGAACUGCGUAGUGCAGGAUGUUGCUACUUGAGUGAACAGAUCUUGUGUGACUAACAGCAGCAGCUGGUAUGAGGUGCGUGAGAAACGACUCAAAGUUAGUCGAAGUCGAACAGAUGGACCAGCUGGUCUCCAUUGGUUGGUAACCAUGGUAAUUUGGAUUUGACCUUAUUUGUGUCUUAAUAUUUCUACCGCACACCCACAGCACCAAAUCCUCUCCAUGACAAUGUUGGCAUGUCCUUCCAUACUUGUAAACAGCUCAGUCAGGAAUAUUUCCACUUAAGCAAAUUUGACUUGGCUAUCAAGAAGACCUUUUGGCCAAUUUUGCCAACACACGCAUGUACACACCUAUUUCCAACAGGACCAACUGUUGUGCUCAGUGUCACGGUUCCCACAUUGGUCCAACAUGCUUUCUGAACAUGAGGGAGGUCUCUUGUGUUCCUCAUUCUCACAGGUUCUGUCCUCAGCAUGAGGCCUGUCGUCAAUCCACCGCUAAAAAUACGCAAACUAAAGAGGGAGAUUUCACUGCUCCAUGUAGCCUGAGAUUCAGCCAUUUUAUUGGGACACAAUAUUUAUCCUUUGGGUGCAUAGCAUUGUUUUCCAAAGAGUAGGUCCCUGUUCAAUACUUCAACCUACAAGUGUGACUUUGGAAAAUGCAGAUCCUGAAAAUGUUGUGCUGAAGUCCGGGGAAAGCAAACAAAAAGGUCAGUAGCAAUUUGGUCUUAAUGUGUAAUGUUUACUUUAGGUUUCAUGGAGUCCAGAGAUUGGGGCUAAAUGAUAAAUUACAUUACAGGUCAUUUAGCUGACGCUUUUAUCCCCCCCCCAAAAAAGUUCAAUUUUUAACCCAUCAAUUUUUACAUUUUUGCCUGGGGAGCAAUUAGGAGUUAUGUGUCUUGCUCAGGGACACUUCAACGUGGAGCAGCUUCAUUUUAUAUCAACGCUCAUCGUUUGUUUCUAUUUAUUGACGUCAUGGUUGCAGCCGGUGCAACACAGAGUAUAUAGUUUUCUACCGUGUGACAGAAUUUAUUAUUGUAUAUUAAAGUUUCGCCAUCUGCAUUCAUUUUAAUGAGUUGCUCUCUGCAGGUUCUCCUGCCGAUAAAGAUAGUUUCUCUUUCCUCAGUGCAUGAAGCCAGAAAGCUCUUGUUGAUUUAAUGCAUAAAUGAUGGCGCAGUAAUAUAGUCAAGGAUGAUAUAAAUUGUUUAUAUAGCUGUUUAUAGUGCUCUCCAGGUAAGAGGAUGUGUGUAUGACUAUUUUUUGUAUCUAUUUCAAACAGACAUAACAAACACAUGCAAACCAUGUUAAUGAGUUUAGAUUCUGAUACAUUACACACGGGCCAUCGGCUCGUCUCUGGCUCCAUGUGAUCUGGAUUAAUGGCGGAGUGCAUCCACAGUAUUGCAUAUCUGCAAUAUAAUCUACAUGGUGAGGUCACACCAAGCUGCUUAAUAGCACUGGUUCGUCUGUAAGUAUAGUGAUCGGCUUUCCCCAUCACCCUCUCUCUCUCUCCCCUCCUCUGCUGUAAUCCUCACAAUGAUGUAUUAUGCCCACGCUGCAGUGUUAUGGGCAAGACUAUGCUUUCUCAUUCAUGUUUGAAUUCAAUUCAGCCAUUUGACUGAUGCCAAAAAUCAUUGCAAAGUUAAAUUCCGAUGAUUAAGUCAUCGAUUACUUUUAUUGAUCAUCAUGCACUGCACCGGCAUUAUUAGGGGUUCAAAUAAAUAAUUGAAAUCCACUUAAAGUGGAAAAUGACGUUGGAUUAAUGUUGUGAAAUGAUUUCUUAGGAUUAGGCUAUAAUAGUAUAUGUGUGAGGUUAGAAUGAUGGAAACGAUGACGUAAGCUGUGUUUGUUUGACCCGUCUACGUCGUACUCCCACCCUCUGUGGACACGGGUGCACUUUUCAUUAUACCAUGUGAAGUCAAAGUGACCUCACGUUGAACAACGGUCGCACAGCUUAUUUCCCAAACCUGCUCAACACCAGCUCGCUGCGCCAAGUGUGAGCAAAUGCAGAAAUGUCCAUAUAAAUGAUUCACAAUAGACAAUUAUUAUUAUUAUUGUUAUUUCUCAGGAUCCAGUGUUUCAGGCGCAAAUUCAUUGCAUUUCAUAUGUUUUAUUUGGUCAUAACUUUAAAAGACUUGAUUUCUAUGAAAAAAAAGAGGUGAAGUGUUUCACAAUGUUGUUUUUCUGUCCUGUGUACAUAAUCUAAGAUCAACACAGCAGCUCUGCUGCCUUGUUUAAAUGAGAUGCUUUGGAUAACAAUCCUGUUGGCCGGCUGCCCGAGCUAUUAACGUCUCCCCAUCUCACACAAACUGCAGCAACUUUAUUAUUAAGUACACAAUCUAUUUGUAAUACUUGCUAAUUUGAUGUGAAAUCACUGUGUCACUGAGUGUGAUGCAUGAAACACACAACUAAAACAAAUGAAGACCGUCUCAACUCAUGAAAGGCAAAUCGUUGUGUGGUGCAAAAGGUGUUUGUGCAGAUGGUGCGAAGGAAUGUGAGAGCCAAAACAUUCUAAAUGUGGUGUUCAGUGAGAGGUUUUGAGUGUCCGGGGAAUAUAUCUAGGAUGUUGACACUAUAAAUAAAGAAACAGAUAAUAAUUUGUCAAAAGCCUGGUGCAGAAGCUGAGAUGUGACCUUUCACCUCCCAGCGUGGGAGACCCACGUCGUUGGUUCAGUGCCGUCUUCUCCACAAGCUCCAGAUGACCCUUUUGGAAUAAGAACAACUUGGUUGCCAUGGUGACUCGAGCCAUUUUAACAAUAUGCUCUGUUGCUACAGUGUGUAGAGGCUUGAUACAGACCAGUUACUUCCAAAGAACGAACUAAUUGCAGGUGUAUUUUUUUAGGUAGUGCCCAGGUGAUGAACGUUGCUCUGCAUUUUUAUAAAUAUUCCACAGAAUAAAAAAUCCACCAUGAAUUUACAAUGCUUAAGGCAAAUUUAUUUUGAAGAAAUGUAUCAAACAAAUGUAAUUUUCAUAGAAAGAGUCUUAAACACAAAUGCAAGCAUCUUCCAUAUUUCCUGAUUUUUGUUGUUACCCAAAUGUAUUUGUAUAACAUAUUUGUUGGUAUUUGAAAAUGAAGCAGUCAGAAGGAUUUCCCUCUGCUGGUAGUUCCAGCUGUGUCC
Gasterosteus aculeatus aculeatus (three-spined stickleback) is the source of this 4915-nucleotide long non-coding RNA. Lineage: Eukaryota; Metazoa; Chordata; Actinopteri; Perciformes; Gasterosteidae. The record is from Ensembl.